GAGUGAAGAGGGAAGAGCCCAAGAUUGAAAGCUGGCGCCUUCGGCGUCCGCAUUGUAAUCUCAAGAAGUGUUUUCCGCUUCGGACCAUGCCUAAGUCCCUUGGAAAAGGGCAUCACAGAGGGUGAUAAUCCCGUACAUGGCAUGGAGCGCCCGAAGCUUUGUGAUACGCUUUCUAAGAGUCGAGUUGUUUGGGAAUGCAGCUCAAAAUGGGUGGUAAAUGCCAUCUAAGGCUAAAUAUUGGGGAGAGACCGAUAGCGAACAAGUACAGUGAUGGAAAGAUGAAAAGAACUUUGAAAAGAGAGUUAAACAGUACGUGAAAUUGCCAAAAGGGAAGGGUAGGAGGUCAGAGAUGCGUCGCAGGAUUCAGCCUUGCUUUUGCUUGGUGUUUUUCCUGCGUUGCAGGCCAACGUCGGUUUUGGGCACUGGAGAAGGGUAGGAGGAACGUGGCACCUCUCGGGGUGUGUUAUAGCCUCCUACUGGAUACAGCGACCGAGACCGAGGAACGCAGCGUACUCGUAAGAGCGGGCCUUUUGGCACCUUUACGCUUAGGGCGUUGGCAUAAUGGCCCUCUACCACCCGUCUUGAA
This 586-nucleotide ribosomal RNA is filed under the name Pseudozyma hubeiensis. Its description in RNAcentral is "eukaryotic LSU rRNA". It matches the Rfam family "Eukaryotic large subunit ribosomal RNA", at positions 91 to 658 of the family's 3401-position model. The record is from RNAcentral. Lineage: Eukaryota; Fungi; Basidiomycota; Ustilaginomycetes; Ustilaginales; Ustilaginaceae.